GUUGAUUUGAUGCAAGAACUGAUUCCAGAAGAAUUAAUUCUUGCAAUCGACCGUAUGAAAUGAAAACAAACCAAAAAUCAAAAUCAAAAUCAAUGAAUUAGCUCUUUAUUUAUAUAUAAACUCUAACAAAGAUAACGUAACAAAGAAUCACAUAUUACAUCACAUAACAGGUGCUAACAACACUCUCCUUUUAACAUCCGCUAUCUUAAUGAAAUUUACGAAGGUGUCACAAGUUUAGGAAUGACAAUGGGUUUCUAUGAAGUGGUGGAACUUUCCAGAUGGCAGAAUGACGUAUGGAAGAAAAUCAAAACGGGCAUACUUCAAGCAAUGUAGAUGAACUACUUGUGAUAAUAAAAUGCUAGGACUGUAUAAACAGUCUGCACAAUAGCGAGAACAGACACCAGCGUUGCAGGGAAGUUGUAAUCGUGGUUCAUAAAUCUUAUAACUUGUUCUCGAUGGUAUAUGAUCGAAGUUAUAACUGAUUUCAACAUUCGUUUAAUGUUAAAUGCCCGAGAGUAAUUGUUGAUGUCAUCAACCAUUUGAAUAUAAGUACUGGAAUCAACUACCUUAUGGUCAAUUCCAAGUGCUAUUUUGCGGAAAAACUCCAUCAGCUCUUGGUUGCUCAUCUUGAGAUUAUCCACAAUGAUUUUCUUGUCUUUGAGAAGUUGGACAUCAUCUGCAGAACAGAUCAGAUCGUUGAAAAUCAAAGCAGCCCAAGUAAAUUUGCCGCAGGAAACAAUUUUGCUUGUGUUCUGUUGGCUCUCAUCCUCGUCUUCGUAUCUAGGUGCAAGACGGGAAGCAUAUUUGUACAUUUUAUGAUGCUCCCAAGCAAUAAGAUUACACCACUUGGCUUUUGUCGUUUUUGUGAUAUGCAGUUGUUUAAUUUCAAGAGUCUCCUUUUCAAACUUAAAGUAAAAGUCCAAACCUUUCAAUUCCAUCUCUUGGUCCAAAUCCAAGCGAUGAAAAUUCGCACGCUGGAUGCUAAUCAAGAUCUCAGAAAAUAUAUAACGAAUUAAAAUUUUCAAGACAAAGGUAGCCAUAGUUAGCAUAGUACUCGGCACAACAUGCUGUUUCUCAGGGAGUUUCACUUUUAUGGUAACCCCUGCAGUUAGGAGUCUCUGAGCACAGUACUCCAGUUUAAGUUGUUUCUGCUGGGUCUGAGUAGCAUCCAUAUUGCCCAGCGCAACAUAUUGUUCCUCCGUUCUAUGGGUACUCUCACAUGUCUUGAUGUUAACGAAGAAGUGGACAAGAUCAAGAAUGUGAGGGGCAUCGACACACGGUAUCUGAAGAUCAGGAGAGUAUCCUAAGACAGCAAGGGCAAGAUUGUUCAUUUUCUUCACCCUCUCUUCCGUCUUCCUCUGUUCCUCUCGAGGAGAAUAGGGAAGAGAGUCAUCUGGUUCAAACACAUAUGGAAAAAGUGUUUGGGACAACUUAUGAAGAACCAAAAAGGGGAUCUGAUUCUCCAACAACAUUAGAUCAGACAGAACAUCAUCGUCUUUCAGCACUUCAGCUGCGGGACUAGGUGGAAAUAAACGGCUAGGAAGUUGAGAAUCCAAUCCCUUUGAUAUGAGAAGCUCCAACAGAAAACAUCCAUCCACUAACAUAAUUUUAGCGAGUUCAUGUCGUUCGAGUUUAAGGUCUCCCAGGUAGCAUUCACGAACCUCUUUAUCUAAUUCCCAAACGGCAUCACUGCAUUGCUCCAAGCUUUUAUCGGCUCGGUUAAGAAGAGACAACAUGCAGCGUAGUUUGACCUCUUCCAUAAGAAAAAGGUCUUCUCUCCUCCCCCUAAAUCUUGGUCCGAUCGACACCUUCCUUGGAAUGUAAGCAUCCUCGUUCCAUUUUUUAAGUCCUUCCGGAACCACUGAAAUGCUGCUUGAUUGACAAUAAUCAUAGUCUACAGAUGUUAGCGAUGUCUCUAUAGAUUUUAACCACUCACUUUUCGUUGUUAGAUUGGCCAUUGGCCUUUACUUUACAAUUUUUUUUAAUUUUUUUUUUUUUUUGGUAUAUCACAGAAGGAAUUGCAAGCUUGUUUAGAGAAUACCAAAUGACUAUGACUACGUAUAUAUUCAAUUUUUUAUAGGCAGUACCUCGUCCACACCUACACCCAGCCUAAGUUGAUCGAGUUCAAGAAUUCGGGUUUUUCCCUUAUAUAUUUCCAAAGUUGAUUGAGUUCGAGAAUUCGACUAAUUUACUCUUUUGUGUUUUUAAUUGGGUGUAAAUUAGCAGUCCCAUAUAUAUAAGAUAUGCUUUCUUGUAAAAAUGACUCAAUCUUGAUCAAUUGUUUUUAUG
Molecule: long non-coding RNA, 2289 nt
Filed under: Medicago truncatula (barrel medic)
Lineage: Eukaryota; Viridiplantae; Streptophyta; Magnoliopsida; Fabales; Fabaceae
Description: lncRNA gene40909
Source: RNAcentral